AGUGAACGCUGGCGGUAUGCCUAACACAUGCAAGUCGAACGGCAGCACAGUAAGAGCUUGCUCUUACGGGUGGCGAGUGGCGGACGGGUGAGGAAUACAUCGGAAUCUACUUUUUCGUGGGGGAUAACGUAGGGAAACUUACGCUAAUACCGCAUAUGACCUACGGGUGAAAGCAGGGGAUCUUCGGACCUUUCGCGAUUGAAUGAGCCGAUGUCGGAUUAGCUAGUUGGCUGGGUAAAGGCCCACCAAGGCAACGAUCCGUAGCUGGUCUGAGAGGAUGAUCAGCCACACUGGAACUGAGACACGGUCCAGACUCCUACGGGAGGCAGCAGUAGGGAAUAUUGGGCAAUGGGCGCAAGCCUGAUCCAGCCAUACCGCGUGGGUGAAGAAGGCCUUCGGGUUGUAAAGCCCUUUUGUUGGGAAAGAAAAGCAGCGGGUUAAUCCCCCGCUGUUCUGACGGUACCCAAAGAAUAAGCACCGGCUAACUUCGUG
RNAcentral lists this ribosomal RNA (492 nucleotides) under uncultured bacterium. RNAcentral describes it as "partial 16S ribosomal RNA". It matches the Rfam family "Bacterial small subunit ribosomal RNA", at positions 29 to 507 of the family's 1533-position model. The record is from RNAcentral.